GACGAACGCUGGCGGCGUGCUUAACACAUGCAAGUCGAACGGAAAGGCCCUGCUUUUGUGGGGUGCUCGAGUGGCGAAGGGGUGUGUAACACGUGUGUAACCUGCCCUUGACUUUGGGAUAACUUCAGGAAACUGGGGCUAAUACCGGAUAGGAGCUCCUGCUGCAUGGUGGGGGUUGGAGAGUUUCGGCGGUUGGGGAUGGACUCGCGGCUUAUCAGCUUGUUGGUGGGGUAGUGGCUUACCAAGGCUUUGACGGGUAGCCGGCCUGAGAGGGUAACCGGCCACAUUGGGACUAAGGUACGGCCCAGACUCCUACGGGAGGCAGCAGGGGGGAAUAUGGCACAAUGGGCGGAAGCCUGAUGCAGCAACGCCGCGUGCGGGAUGACGGCCUUCGGGUUGUAAACCGCUUUCGCCUGUGACGAAGCGUGAGUGACGGUAAUGGGUAAAGAAGCACCGGCUAACUACGUG
RNAcentral lists this ribosomal RNA (468 nucleotides) under uncultured bacterium. Its description in RNAcentral is "partial 16S ribosomal RNA". It matches the Rfam family "Bacterial small subunit ribosomal RNA", at positions 28 to 507 of the family's 1533-position model. The record is from RNAcentral.